Long non-coding RNA from Pipistrellus kuhlii (Kuhl's pipistrelle), 216 nucleotides. RefSeq lists it as uncharacterized. NCBI's taxonomy places the organism in Eukaryota, Metazoa, Chordata, Mammalia, Chiroptera, Vespertilionidae. The record is from RefSeq and is a predicted model, not a curated record. The transcript is spliced from 3 exons.
UUGGCUUCCUGGCACUUCACCCAGAUUAGGUACUGAUUAGUCAGUUUCUAUGCCACACAGCAUCAAAAACUCCACCUCCUAGGUAGCCACUGGCUCCUCGCACUUCACCCACAUUUGGUUCUGAUUGGUUGGUUUCUAUGCCAGUCAUCAUCAAAAGCUCUGCCUCCCAGGCAGCCAUUGGAUCCUCAUACUUCAGUCACAUUUGGUUCUGAUUGG